UACGUAGGGUGCGAGCGUUGUCCGGAAUUAUUGGGCGUAACGGGCUCGUAGGCGGUUUGUCGCGUCGGGAGUGAAAUCCACUGGCUUAACUGGUGGCUUGCUUUCGAUACGGGCAGACUGGAGGUAUGCAGGGGAGAACGGAAUUCCUGGUGUAGCGGUGAAAUGCGCAGAUAUCAGGAGGAACACCGGUGGCGAAGGCGGUUCUCUGGGCAUGUCCUGACGCUGAGGAGCGAAAGUGUGGGGAGCGAACGGG
Molecule: ribosomal RNA, 253 nt
Filed under: uncultured bacterium
Lineage: Bacteria
Description: partial 16S ribosomal RNA
Rfam family: Bacterial small subunit ribosomal RNA
Source: RNAcentral